AGAGUUUGAUCCUGGCUCAGAACAAACGCUGGCGGCGUGCCUAACACAUGCAAGUCGUACGAGAAAGGGUCCUUCGGGACCUGAGUAAAGUGGCGCACGGGUGAGUAACGCGUGGAUAAUCUGCCCUUCAGUUGGGAAUAACUCAUCGAAAGGUGGGCUAAUACCGAAUGAUACUGCGAGACUUUGGUCGAGCAGUCAAAGAGAGCCUCUGCUUGCAAGCCCUCGCUGAAGGAUGAGUCCGCGUACCAUUAGCUAGUUGGUAGGGUAAUGGCCUACCAAGGCGACGAUGGUUAGCUGGUCUGAGAGGAUGAUCAGCCACACUGGAACUGAGACACGGUCCAGACUCCUACGGGAGGCAGCAGUGAGGAAUCUUGCGCAAUGGGGGCAACCCUGACGCAGCAACGCCGCGUGAGUGAGGAAGGUCUUCGGAUCGUAAAGCUCUGUCAGAUGGAAAGAACCGCAUGGGGAUAAAUAGUCCUCGUGUCUGACGGUACCAUCAGAGGAAGCACCGGCUAACUCCGUGCCAGCAGCCGCGGUAAUACGGGGGGUGCAAGCGUUGUUCGGAAUUAUUGGGCGUAAAGAGCGUGUAGGCGGCCUGAUGUGUCAGAUGUGAAAGCCCUGGGCUCAACCCAGGAAGUGCAUUUGAAACUGUCAGGCUCGAGUAGGGGAGAGGGAAGUGGAAUUCCUGGUGUAGAGGUGAAAUUCGUAGAUAUCAGGAGGAACACCGGUGGCGAAGGCGACUUCCUGGCCCUAUACUGACGCUGAGACGCGAGAGCGUGGGUAGCAAACAGGAUUAGAUACCCUGGUAGUCCACGCCGUAAACGAUGUUCACUAGGUGUUGGGGGUAUUGACCCCCUCAGUGCCGGAGCUAACGCAUUAAGUGAACCGCCUGGGGAGUACGGUCGCAAGACUAAAACUCAAAGGAAUUGACGG
Molecule: ribosomal RNA, 933 nt
Filed under: uncultured bacterium
Lineage: Bacteria
Description: bacterial SSU rRNA
Rfam family: Bacterial small subunit ribosomal RNA
Source: RNAcentral